GAUGAACGCUGGCGGCGUGCCUAAUACAUGCAAGUCGAGCGAACAGACGAGGAGCUUGCUCCUCUGACGUUAGCGGCGGACGGGUGAGUAACACGUGGAUAACCUACCUAUAAGACUGGGAUAACUUCGGGAAACCGGAGCUAAUACCGGAUAAUAUAUUGAACCGCAUGGUUCAAUAGUGAAAGACGGUUUUGCUGUCACUUAUAGAUGGAUCCGCGCCGCAUUAGCUAGUUGGUAAGGUAACGGCUUACCAAGGCAACGAUGCGUAGCCGACCUGAGAGGGUGAUCGGCCACACGGGAACUGAGACACGGUCCAGGCUCCUACGGGAGGCAGCAGUAGGGAAUCUGCCGCAAUGGGCGAAAGCCUGACGGAGCAACGCCGCGUGAGUGAUGAAGGUCUUCGGAGCGUAAAACUCUGUUAUUAGGGAAGAACAAAUGUGUAAGUAACUAUGCACGUCUUGACGGUACCUAAUCAGAAAGCCACGGCUAACUACGUG
Molecule: ribosomal RNA, 497 nt
Filed under: uncultured bacterium
Lineage: Bacteria
Description: partial 16S ribosomal RNA
Rfam family: Bacterial small subunit ribosomal RNA
Source: RNAcentral